GACGUAGGAGGCGAGCGUUAUCCGGAUUCACUGGGCGUAAAGCGCAUGUAGGCGGAUGUCUAAGUCGUGUGUUAAAGCCCCUGGCUCAACUGGGGGAGGUCAUGCGAGACUGGAUGACUUGAGGGCAACAGAGGCACGUGGAACUCCCGGUGUAGCGGUGGAAUGCGCAGAUAUCAGGAGGAACACCAAUGGCGAAGGCAGCUCGCUGGGACGUGACUGACGCUGAGACGCGAAAGCGUGGGGAGCAAACAGG
RNAcentral lists this ribosomal RNA (253 nucleotides) under uncultured bacterium. RNAcentral's name for it is "partial 16S ribosomal RNA". It matches the Rfam family "Bacterial small subunit ribosomal RNA", at positions 524 to 776 of the family's 1533-position model. The record is from RNAcentral.